RNAcentral lists this long non-coding RNA (1722 nucleotides) under Nicotiana tabacum (common tobacco). Its description in RNAcentral is "long non-coding RNA (NTAB_LNC009269)". Lineage: Eukaryota; Viridiplantae; Streptophyta; Magnoliopsida; Solanales; Solanaceae. The record is from RNAcentral.
CAAAUUGGCCGGAUUUCGGGCGAAUGAUCACUGGUUAUCCAAGUUCGUUUGAAACCUCUGCCUCGUCUCUUUCUUGGCACAUGGUGAGGAUUGCUGCAUGAAUCAUUGGCCAUGGACGAAAGUUCGGCUAAUAUUUGUGUUACAAUUCCCAUCGUUGGCCGAGUCUUUGGUCCAUCGGAGUUCAAAUGGAUUCAUUACUGCCUUUCUUCGAGUUGUCGAAGCUUUUGGUGAUCUUAUCAGUAUGUCUCUCCUCCUAUAUUCAUAACCCCUCUUGCAAUGACAAAUUUAUUUCUAAAUAAGAGAGGAAAUCUGUUUUCUAGUCUUGAUUUAAUUAAUCAGUAAUAACGACUCACUAAUUAGAUUAGUCAUAGUUGUUAACGUUAUUUUGGGUACAUUUUAGAAAAUGUGUUUUUCCAGUUUUUAAAACCAAGUCUGUUUUUGUUUAAAUUUUUCUUUGGUUUUGAUUCUAUUCACUAGUUGGAUUCAGAAUUAGGGUCGUUAGUGCCAAAGCCUAAUUAAGAUGUCAGGCAUGUUGUUUAAAUGUCCCAGAAGUCCAGUUUCAUUAAAAGGGUAAAAGGGGGAACACAGGGAUGCUGGUUCGGAAUUGGAUAGGCUUGAAUAAACUUAUAGGAAGGUUCUAGAAAAGAGCCGACAGGGAUCAUCCUGGGGCGAAAGGGGUUUUAAGUUAAUAAAAUCAGAAACUUAAGGGUCCUUUUUGAAUUACAAGAACUGGUUUGGUUGCUCUAAAAUCCUUUCUAUAUAAGGACUCUCUUGCCAAUGAUUAGGGCACAGAAAAAGAGUAAAAAGGAGAAAAACGGCUGAAAACCAGCUUUCCAAAAGCAUUCUUAAGAAAUUUUUGAGUUUUCUUCUAUUUUUGAGGUCUUUUGCUGGGAGUUUCAGAGGUUUAGAAUAGAAUUUUGGGUUUCUUCAUAGCUAUUUUAGUUGUUUAGUCUCUCCAUAUUGCUACUGGUUCUGUCUUGCUGUGGUUAAACUUUCAAUUUUGGGAUCCAAGUUAAUUCGGCUGCUGUUUGUUGGUGGUUGCUCUUUAUUUCUUUCAAGAUUCAGAAAUCUAUUUUUCUGUUCUUUUGGUUUUUGUUGCUACUGCUGCUGUUAGGUACGCCCAAACACAUCUGUAGCUCUUUUUGGAAUAUGAAAAAUGAAGUUAUUCAGCUUAUUGAUUCCCUGACUAUGCCUAUGUUUGAUUUUCUUGUGUUUGUUUGCUGCAUAUGUUUGCCUGUGGUCUUUGUUAAUGUCAGCAGUCAGUCUCAUCUUCUUUGUGUGUCUGAUCUAUGUUGAAAUUUUGGUAAAAACCAUCCUUAAACUGAUUCAUUUGCUAGUAAUAUUUGCUUAUCUUGCUAAAAUCAUGCUAAUAAUCGACAUUUAAAUCCCUCAUGAAUGUCAUCUGUCGAGUUCGUGGGAAUUUGUACUUACUUUGUCACUGGUGAUGAACUUAAUGAGAAAGCAUGAAGGCCUAGAAAGCAUGAGAGAUUGCAAGCCCUGAGUAUGUAUUCCAUGUGUCAAAAUACAGUAGUAAUUCCAAAAAUAGAAGUUUCAUGUACAUGAGUGAUUCAUAGUGAGCUAUGAUAUUGAUAUGAUGAUGUAAAAAUGGGUUGAUUAUGUGUUAUUAAAAAGAAUUGGUCUGUAAUUAAUUUUAUUGUUCAUGUUAGCAAUAUGAAAUCGUUUUCUUAAUGCUAUUCUUUGUUACUGAUGGUUGUAAAAUUU